CCUACGGGUCGCACCAGUGGGGAAUAUUGCACAAUGGGCGCAAGCCUGAUGCAGCCAUGCCGCGUGUGUGAAGAAGGCCUUCGGGUUGUAAAGCACUUUCAGCGGGGAGGAAGGCGUUAAGGUUAAUAACCUUAGCGAUUGACGUUACCCGCAGAAGAAGCACCGGCUAACUCCGUGCCAGCAGCCGCGGUAAUACGGAGGGUGCAAGCGUUAAUCGGAAUUACUGGCGUAAUGCGCACGCAGGCGGUCUGUCAAGUCGGAGGUGAAAUCCCCGGGCUCAACCUGGGAACUGCAUUCGAAACUGGCAGGCUAGAGUCUUGUAGAGGGGGGUAGAAUUCCAGGUGUAGCGGUGAAAUGCGUAGAGAUCUGGAGGAAUACCGGUGGCGAAGGCGGCCCCCUGGACAAAGACUGACGCUCAGGUGCGAAAGCGUGGGGAGCAAACAGGAUUAGAUACCCUCGUAG
This 462-nucleotide ribosomal RNA is filed under the name uncultured bacterium. RNAcentral describes it as "bacterial SSU rRNA". It matches the Rfam family "Bacterial small subunit ribosomal RNA", at positions 338 to 793 of the family's 1533-position model. The record is from RNAcentral.